GACGAACGCUGGCGGCGUGCUUAACACAUGCAAGUCGAACGGAAAGGCCCUGCUUUUGCGGGGUGCUCGAGUGGCGAUCGGGUGAGUAACACGUGAGUAACCUGCCCUUGACUUUGGGAUAACUUCAGGAAACUGGGGCUAAUACCGGAUAGGAGCUCCUGCUGCAUGGUGGGGGUUGGAAAGUUUCGGCGGUUGGGGAUGGACUCGCGGCUUAUCAGCUUGUUGGUGGGGUAGUGGCUUACCAAGGCUUUGACGGGUAGCCGGCCUGAGAGGGUGACCGGCCACAUUGGGACUGAGAUACGGCCCAGACUCCUACGGGAGGCAGCAGUGGGGAAUAUUGCACAAUGGGCGGAAGCCUGAUGCAGCAACGCCGCGUGCGGGAUGACGGCCUUCGGGUUGUAAACCGCUUUCGCCUGUGACGAAGCGUGAGUGACGGUAAUGGGUAAAGAAGCACCGGCUAACUACGUG
Molecule: ribosomal RNA, 468 nt
Filed under: uncultured bacterium
Lineage: Bacteria
Description: partial 16S ribosomal RNA
Rfam family: Bacterial small subunit ribosomal RNA
Source: RNAcentral